Long non-coding RNA from Acinonyx jubatus (cheetah), 964 nucleotides. RefSeq lists it as uncharacterized. The transcript is spliced from 4 exons. NCBI's taxonomy places the organism in Eukaryota, Metazoa, Chordata, Mammalia, Carnivora, Felidae. The record is from RefSeq and is a predicted model, not a curated record.
GACUAUUCUCGGGGAGGGGGCAGGGCGGAGACGCAGGGCGCCUCCCGCUCCUCGCCUGUCCCAAGGGGGCGCGAAGGUCACACGGCCCAUCUCCAGGGGAAAGCACCUCCCUGAGGGGUGCGCGCCGGGCACGCAGACGGGACUCGGGAACGCGGCCUCGUGCCCCUUUCCAAAGCUCUUUCGCGGCCACCACUCCUGUGCAAUCCCUCUCGGCGGCCCGCGGAGGCAGGAUAAGUUAAGCGAAGAGGAGAAGGCGAUGGGACCAUGGAGAAGACAAAUAGACUCUCAACCGUAAGCCAGAGAAUGGCGUCCGCCGCCAGAUGCAAGGAAACGCUUCUCCGCUAGAGCCCUCAGACGGUGGCAGUCCAGCUGCCAUUUUAGCCCAGUGACACUGAUUAUGGAUUUCUGGCCUCCAGGACACAUGGCUCCUGGCUGUCUCUUGAGGGAAGGAAAGCCUUUGCCACCUUGCCAAGCCAUCAGACUCCCACUCUUCCUUCGAGAGAACAGGUGCUGAGAAAAGCACCCCCCUCAUGGGUCUGGAUGAAAUAUGCACACGCCUUGGCCAAAUGCUUACUGAAGCGCAGUGUCAUUAUAUACGACGCUGUAUAUAAUGAUCUGCUUAAAUGUCUGUCUCCCUCACUUGACUUGAGGGCAGGGACUGAUUCUGAUCUAUCUUUGUGCCUCCGGCACCCAGCGCGGUUACAAGAGCUGUUAAAUAAAUGUGAAGUAAAUGAAUGAAAAAGAAAUAAAUGAGUCUCAGAAUUCUAGUCUCAUAAUUCCACACAUAAAAUCGAAGACCCUUGCCUCACAUGACCGCAAAGACGGGAGGUUCUUGGAGAAGAACUUUCUGAGGCUGUUGAUCUUUCUGACUAGCAUCCACCGUUAGUAAUGCACUUUAUGUCGCUGUCCAGUGUGAACACACACACACACACACACGCCUAGACACACAUACACACGCACAGAA